UACGAAGGGGGCUAGCGUUGCUCGGAAUUAUUGGGCGUAAAGAGCUCGUAGGUGGUUUGUUACGUCUGCUGUGAAAACCUAGGGCUUAACCCUGGGCUUGCAGUGGAUACGGGCAGACUAGAGGUAGGUAGGGGAGAAUGGAAUUCCUGGUGUAGCGGUGAAAUGCGCAGAUAUCAGGAGGAACACCGGUGGCGAAGGCGGCUCUCUGGAACGCAACUGACGCUGAGACGCGAAAGCGUGGGGAGCAAACAGG
This 253-nucleotide ribosomal RNA is filed under the name uncultured bacterium. RNAcentral describes it as "partial 16S ribosomal RNA". It matches the Rfam family "Bacterial small subunit ribosomal RNA", at positions 524 to 776 of the family's 1533-position model. The record is from RNAcentral.